CUUUGACAUGUGCAUUAUUCUGGGCUGAAGGGCAUUCUUUAAUGAAGAAACGUUAGAGCUGCUUAACACGCUGCAACACGGAGAUUUUAGUGGAGAACAUGGCUUCCUCUUGGAAACUAAUCCUGUUUCUGUCAGUCGCUGGGUGUCUUUCAGGAAAAAACAGGUUUAAG
Long non-coding RNA from Eptesicus fuscus (big brown bat), 170 nucleotides. RefSeq lists it as uncharacterized. The record is from RefSeq and is a predicted model, not a curated record. Lineage: Eukaryota; Metazoa; Chordata; Mammalia; Chiroptera; Vespertilionidae. The transcript is spliced from 3 exons.